This 497-nucleotide ribosomal RNA is filed under the name uncultured bacterium. Its description in RNAcentral is "partial 16S ribosomal RNA". It matches the Rfam family "Bacterial small subunit ribosomal RNA", at positions 28 to 507 of the family's 1533-position model. The record is from RNAcentral.
GAUGAACGCUGGCGGCGUGCCUAAUACAUGCAAGUCGAGCGAACAGAUGAGGAGCUUGCUCCUCUGACGUUAGCGGCGGACGGGUGAGUAACACGUGGAUAACCUACCUAUAAAACUGGGAUAACUUCGGGAAACCGGAGCUAAUACCGGAUAAUAUAUUAAACCGCAUGGUUCAAUAGGGAAAGACGGUUUUGCUGUCACUUAUAGAUGGAUCCGCGCCGCAUUAGCUAGUUGGUAAGGUAACGGCUUACCAAGGCAACGAUGCGUAGCCGACCUGAGAGGGUGAUCGGCCACACUGGAACUGAGACACGGUCCAGACUCCUACGGGAGGCAGCAGCAGGGAAUCUUCCGCAAUGGGCGAAAGCCUGACGGAGCAACGCCGCGUGAGUGAUGAAGGUCUUCGGAUCGUAAAACUCUGUUAUUAGGGAAGAACAAAUGUGUAAGUAACUAUGCACGUCUUGACGGUACCUAAUCAGAAAGCCACGGCUAACUACGUG